UAGGAAUCUUCCACAAUGGACGCAAGUCUGAUGGAGCAACGCCGCGUGAGUGAAGAAGGUUUUCGGACCGUAAAGCUCUGUUGUUGGUGAAGAAGGAUAGAGGUAGUAACUGGCCUUUAUUUGACGGUAAUCAACCAGAAAGUCACGGCUAACUACGUGCCAGCAGCCGCGGUAAUACGUAGGUGGCAAGCGUUGUCCGGAUUUAUUGGGCGUAAAAGCGAGCGCAGGCGGAAGAAUAAGUCUGAUGUGAAAGCCCUCGGCUUAACCGAGGAAUUGCAUCGGAAACUGUUUUCUUGAGUGCAGAAGAGGAGAGUAGAACUCCAUGUGUAGCGGUGGAAUGCGUAGAUAUAUGGAAGAAUACCAGUGGCGAAGGCGGCUCUCUGGUCUGCAAACUGACGCUGAGGCUCGAAAAGCAUGGGUAGCGAACAGGAUUAGAUACCCCGGUAGUCCAUGCCGUAAAACGAUGAGUGCUAAGUGUUGGGAGGCUUCCGCCUCUCAGUGCUGCAGCUAACGCAUUAAGCACUCCGCCUGGGGGAGUACGACC
RNAcentral lists this ribosomal RNA (544 nucleotides) under uncultured bacterium. RNAcentral's name for it is "partial 16S ribosomal RNA". It matches the Rfam family "Bacterial small subunit ribosomal RNA", at positions 356 to 887 of the family's 1533-position model. The record is from RNAcentral.